UACAGAGGCCCCAAGCGUUAGGCGGAAUCACUGGGCUUAAAGCGUGUGUAGGCGGACUUCUAAGUACCUUGUGAAAUCCCACGGCUUAACCGUGGAACUGCUCGGCAUACUGGCGGUCUUGAGCCAGCUAGGGGCUACCGGAACAAAUGGUGGAGCGGUGAAAUGCGUAGAUAUCAUUUGGAACGCCAAUGGUGAAAACAGGUAGCUGGGGCUGUGCUGACGCUGAGACACGAAAGCCAGGGGAGCGAACGGG
This 253-nucleotide ribosomal RNA is filed under the name uncultured bacterium. RNAcentral's name for it is "partial 16S ribosomal RNA". It matches the Rfam family "Bacterial small subunit ribosomal RNA", at positions 524 to 776 of the family's 1533-position model. The record is from RNAcentral.